GACGAACGCUGGCGGCGUGCCUAAUACAUGCAAGUUGAGCGAUGAAGAUUGGUGCUUGCACCAAUUUGAAGAGCAGCGAACGGGUGAGUAACGCGUGGGGAAUCUGCCUUUGAGCGGGGGACAACAUUUGGAAACGAAUGCUAAUACCGCAUAACAACUUUAAACAUAAGUUUUAAGUUUGAAAGAUGCAAUUGCAUCACUCAAAGAUGAUCCCGCGUUGUAUUAGCUAGUUGGUGAGGUAAAGGCUCACCAAGGCGAUGAUACAUAGCCGACCUGAGAGGGUGAUCGGCCACAUUGGGACUGAGACACGGCCCAAACUCCUACGGGAGGCAGCAGUAGGGAAUCUUCGGCAAUGGACGAAAGUCUGACCGAGCAACACCGCGUGAGGGAAGAAGGUUUUCGGAUCGUAAAACUCUGUUGGUAGAGAAGAACGUUGGUGAGAGUGGAAAGCUCAUCAAGUGACGGUAACUACCCAGAAAGGGACGGCUAACUACGUG
Molecule: ribosomal RNA, 497 nt
Filed under: uncultured bacterium
Lineage: Bacteria
Description: partial 16S ribosomal RNA
Rfam family: Bacterial small subunit ribosomal RNA
Source: RNAcentral